This 984-nucleotide ribosomal RNA is filed under the name Francisella endosymbiont of Dermacentor variabilis. RNAcentral describes it as "bacterial SSU rRNA". It matches the Rfam family "Bacterial small subunit ribosomal RNA", at positions 194 to 1160 of the family's 1533-position model. The record is from RNAcentral. Lineage: Bacteria; Pseudomonadati; Pseudomonadota; Gammaproteobacteria; Thiotrichales; Francisellaceae.
CUGUGGAUUAAAGGUGGCUUUUGGGCUGUCGCAGAUGGAUGAGCCUGCGUUGGAUUAGCUAGUUGGUGAGGUAAGGGCCUACCAAGGCUACGAUCCAUAGCUGAUUUGAGAGGAUGAUCAGCCACAUUGGGACUGAGACACGGCCCAAACUCCUACGGGAGGCAGCAGUGAGGAAUAUUGGACAAUGGGGGCAACCCUGAUCCAGCAAUGCCAUGUGUGUGAAGAAGGCCUUAGGGUUGUAAAGCACUUUAGUUGGGGAAGAAAGCUUUGAGGUUAAUAGCCUUGAGGAAAAGGACGUUACCCAAAGAAUAAGCACCGGCUAACUCCGUGCCAGCAGCCGCGGUAAUACGGGGGGUGCAAGCGUUAAUCGGAAUUACUGGGCGUAAAGGGUCUGUAGGUGGUUUGUUAAGUCAGAUGUGAAAGCCUAGGGCUCAACCUUGGAACUGCAUUUGAUACUGGUAAACUAGAGUACGGUAGAGGAAUGGGGAAUUUCUGGUGUAGCGGUGAAAUGCGUAGAGAUCAGAAGGAACACCAAUGGCGAAGGCAACAUUCUGGACCGAUACUGACACUGAGGGACGAAAGCGUGGGGAUCAAACAGGAUUAGAUACCCUGGUAGUCCACGCUGUAAACGAUGAGUACUAGCUGUUGGAGUCGGUGUAAAGGCUCUAGUGGCGCAGCUAACGCGAUAAGUACUCCGCCUGGGGACUACGGCCGCAAGGCUAAAACUCAAAGGAAUUGACGGGGACCCGCACAAGCGGUGGAGCAUGUGGUUUAAUUCGAUGCAACGCGAAGAACCUUACCUGGUCUUGACAUCCUGCGAUCUUUCUAGAGAUAGAUUGGUGCCUUCGGGAACGCAGUGACAGGUGCUGCACGGCUGUCGUCAGCUCGUGUUGUGAAAUGUUGGGUUAAGUCCCGCAACGAGCGCAACCCCUAUUGAUAGUUACCAUCAUUAAGUUGGGUACUCUAUUGAGACUGCCGCUGACA